This 462-nucleotide ribosomal RNA is filed under the name uncultured Desulfobulbus sp. RNAcentral's name for it is "bacterial SSU rRNA". It matches the Rfam family "Bacterial small subunit ribosomal RNA", at positions 926 to 1382 of the family's 1533-position model. Lineage: Bacteria; Pseudomonadati; Thermodesulfobacteriota; Desulfobulbia; Desulfobulbales; Desulfobulbaceae. The record is from RNAcentral.
CAAGCGGUGGAGUAUGUGGUUUAAUUCGAUGCAACGCGAAGAACCUUACCUGGUCUUGACAUCCCGGAGACCCUUAGGAAACUAGGGGGUGCUUCCAUCUGGAAGAAUCUGGAGACAGGUGCUGCAUGGCUGUCGUCAGCUCGUGUCGUGAGAUGUUGGGUUAAGUCCCGCAACGAGCGCAACCCUUGCCUUUAGUUGCCAGCAGUUCGGCUGGGCACUCUAAAGGGACUGCCGGUGUUAAACCGGAGGAAGGUGGGGAUGACGUCAAGUCCUCAUGGCCUUUAUGACCAGGGCUACACACGUACUACAAUGGCCGAUACAAAGGGCAGCGACACUGCGAGGUGAAGCCAAUCCCGUAAAAUCGGUCUCAGUCCGGAUUGGAGUCUGCAACUCGACUCCAUGAAGUUGGAAUCGCUAGUAAUCGUGGAUCAGCAUGCCACGGUGAAUACGUUCCCGGGCCUU